CGCGUGCGGGAUGACGGCCUUCGGGUUGUAAACCGCUUUCAGCAGGGGACGAGGCCGCAAGGUGACGGUACCUGCAGAAGAAGCCCCGGCUAACUACGUGCC
RNAcentral lists this ribosomal RNA (102 nucleotides) under uncultured bacterium. Its description in RNAcentral is "partial 16S ribosomal RNA". It matches the Rfam family "Bacterial small subunit ribosomal RNA", at positions 398 to 509 of the family's 1533-position model. The record is from RNAcentral.